Molecule: ribosomal RNA, 396 nt
Filed under: Triticum aestivum (bread wheat)
Lineage: Eukaryota; Viridiplantae; Streptophyta; Magnoliopsida; Poales; Poaceae
Description: partial small subunit ribosomal RNA
Source: RNAcentral
AUGAUGCUACUGCAACAUGUCACCAGUGACGAAAGAGGGGAGGACGGAUCGAGGAAGCGACACGAAUGCCCGGCGCAAGUAUUCCCUGGGGGUGCAGCUGGCCAUGCAUGGGAGGUGCGGCUCAUACAAGCUCUGCGAGGAUCCAAGUGGCGAUGUAGGGUGUGCAUCCAUGCAGGGAAGGAUCGGCUCCACCCAGCUCCACGAGGAUCCCAUGAUGAUGAUGCAGCCUGUAGGGAAGGAGAGGCUCCAGCUGGCUUGAGGAGAAGGUCCCCCAAGGGUAUCUGCAGGCGGACGUCAUGGCGGCGUGAGGAUGGAGAUCGUCAUGGCGGCGUGAGGAUGGAGAUCAUCAAUACAGAUAGAAAAGUACUGGAAGUUUUUUUUUUGUAUCUAGUUUAG